CUUGUGAAGUCCAGGGGCUCA
This 21-nucleotide non-coding RNA is filed under the name Rattus norvegicus (Norway rat). Lineage: Eukaryota; Metazoa; Chordata; Mammalia; Rodentia; Muridae. The record is from RNAcentral.